CAGUAGCCGCGGUAAAACGGAGGGUGCAAGCGUUAAUCGGAAUUACUGGGCGUAAAGCGCACGCAGGCGGUUUGUUAAGUCAGAUGUGAAAUCCCCGGGCUCAACCUGGGAACUGCAUUUGAAACUGGCAAGCUAGAGUCUCGUAGAGGGGGGUAGAAUUCCAGGUGUAGCGGUGAAAUGCGUAGAGAUCUGGAGGAAUACCGGUGGCGAAGGCGGCCCCCUGGACAAAGACUGACGCUCAGGUGCGAAAGCGUGGGGAGCAAACAGGAUUAGAUACCCCAGUAGUCCCUGUCUCUUAUAC
Molecule: ribosomal RNA, 301 nt
Filed under: uncultured bacterium
Lineage: Bacteria
Description: partial 16S ribosomal RNA
Rfam family: Bacterial small subunit ribosomal RNA
Source: RNAcentral